UUUUGAUCAGAGCGUCCACACCGUCGAUGACUCGCUGGCAGAGUUGGACCUAAAAAGCAGGGAAAUUUCCAUGGAAACACAAAGGAGAGUAUAGUGCACUACAGACCCAUGGUGUUCAACGUACCUUAUACAGUUACAGGAUGAUCUGAUCUGUCGGAAUUGAAAAGACAGGAAAAACUACUUGGACGACUCGCCGAUUGUUGAUUGAAAAGAGGGAAAAAAUCACGGUAUGCCACCACCUUUUUAACCACCAAUUGAAGUCGGUUAAAAAAGCAACAGAGCGGCAAAAUGGGUGAAGGGCCCUCAAAAGGAACAACACCCUUGCUCCAACCGCCCUUCAAACCCAGCUCUGGCCCCAUGAAGAAGUGAGGAAAAAAAGGGCAAGUUAAACAGUCGCUUUCUAAUAACCUGGGCGGGGCAAGUAAAUAUUUUAUGAUUGCUUUAACACGAUCUUGUUUCUCCCUUUUGCCCCCUGACUGUCCUCAGGCAUCUCUUGUCUCCAGCCUCUUUUUUUCCCGGUUCUCUUUUGCCAAAUCUGAAGUGUUGCUUGAAUUGCCAGCAUUUACCCAAGUCCUUAUGUGGACAAUACCUCUCGAGUACUGAGCACACGCAGACGUAUACAGCACACUGAGACUCCGUGAUGAAAAAAAAAUGCUCUUGAAGUUUUGAAGAUGAUAAUAGUCACAAUUGUA
This is a long non-coding RNA of Patiria miniata (bat star), 692 nucleotides long. RefSeq lists it as uncharacterized. The record is from RefSeq and is a predicted model, not a curated record. NCBI's taxonomy places the organism in Eukaryota, Metazoa, Echinodermata, Asteroidea, Valvatida, Asterinidae. The transcript is spliced from 4 exons.